RNAcentral lists this ribosomal RNA (241 nucleotides) under uncultured bacterium. RNAcentral describes it as "partial 16S ribosomal RNA". It matches the Rfam family "Bacterial small subunit ribosomal RNA", at positions 15 to 235 of the family's 1533-position model. The record is from RNAcentral.
GAUCCUGGCUCAGGACGAACGCUGGCGGCGUGCCUAACACAUGCAAGUCGAGCGGAGAAAUCCGAGCGGAAGUUUUCGGACGGAAGCAUGGAUUUUUUAGCGGCGGACGGGUGAGUAACGCGUGGGCAAUCUGCCUUUCACAGGGGGAUAACACAGGGAAACUUGUGCUAAUACCGCAUAACGCUGCACUGUGGCAUCACAGAGCAGACAAAGGAGCAAUCCGGUGAAAGAGGAGCCCGCG